CCUACGGGAGGCUGCAGUGGGGAAUAUUGGGCAAUGGGCGAAAGCCUGACCCAGCAACGCCGCGUGAAGGAAGAAGGCUCUCGGGUUGUAAACUUCUUUUGACAGGGAAGAGCAGAAGACGGUACCUGUCGAAUAAGCCAUGGCUAACUACGUGCCAGCAGCCGCGGUAAUACGUAGGGGGCAAGCGUUGUCCGGAUUUACUGGGUGUAAAGGGUGUGUAGCCGGGCUGCGAAGUCAGAUGUGAAAUCCGGGGGCUCAACCACCGCACGGCGUUGGAAACGGUUGGUCGUGAGUGUGGGAGAGGCAGGCGGAAUUAGUGGUGUAGCGGUGAAAUGCGUAGAUAUUAGGAGGAACA
RNAcentral lists this ribosomal RNA (355 nucleotides) under uncultured bacterium. RNAcentral describes it as "partial 16S ribosomal RNA". It matches the Rfam family "Bacterial small subunit ribosomal RNA", at positions 338 to 708 of the family's 1533-position model. The record is from RNAcentral.